CGUUCCCGGGCCUUGUACACACCGCCCGUCACACCACGAAAGUUGGCAACACCCGAAGCCAGUGGCCCAACCCUUUGGGAGGGAGCUGUCGAAGGUGGGGUUAGCGAUUGGGGUG
Molecule: ribosomal RNA, 115 nt
Filed under: uncultured bacterium
Lineage: Bacteria
Description: partial 16S ribosomal RNA
Rfam family: Bacterial small subunit ribosomal RNA
Source: RNAcentral